AGAGCGAACGCUGGCGGCAGGCCUAACACAUGCAAGUCGAACGGACUCUUCGGGGUUAGUGGCGGACGGGUGAGUAACACGUGGGAACGUGCCUUUAGGUUCGGAAUAGCUCCUGGAAACGGGUGGUAAUGCCGAAUGUGCCCUUCGGGGGAAAGAUUUAUCGCCUUUAGAGCGGCCCGCGUCUGAUUAGCUAGUUGGUGAGGUAAAGGCUCACCAAGGCUACGAUCAGUAGCUGGUCUGAGAGGAUGACCAGCCACAUUGGGACUGAGACACGGCCCAAACUCCUACGGGAGGCAGCAGUGGGGAAUCUUGCGCAAUGGGCGAAAGCCUGACGCAGCCAUGCCGCGUGAAUGAUGAAGGUCUUAGGAUUGUAAAAUUCUUUCAGUAGGGACGAUAAUGACGGUACUACAGAAGAAGCCCGGCUAACUUCGUGCCAGCAGCCGC
Molecule: ribosomal RNA, 444 nt
Filed under: uncultured soil bacterium
Lineage: Bacteria
Description: bacterial SSU rRNA
Rfam family: Bacterial small subunit ribosomal RNA
Source: RNAcentral